Molecule: ribosomal RNA, 496 nt
Filed under: uncultured bacterium
Lineage: Bacteria
Description: partial 16S ribosomal RNA
Rfam family: Bacterial small subunit ribosomal RNA
Source: RNAcentral
GAUGAACGCUGGCGGCGUGCCUAAUACAUGCAAGUCGAGCGAACAGACGAGGAGCUUACUCCUCUGACGUUAGCGGCGGACGGGUGAGUAACACGUGGAUAACCUACCUAUAAGACUGGGAUAACUUCGGGAAACCGGAGCUAAUACCGGAUAACAUGUUGAACCGCAUGGUUCAACAGUGAAAGACGGUCUUGCUGUCACUUAUAGAUGGAUCCGCGUCGCAUUAGCUAGUUGGUAAGGUAACGGCUUACCAAGGCAACGAUGCGUAGCCGACCUGAGAGGGUGAUCGGCCACACUGGAACUGAGACACGGUCCAGACUCCUACGGGAGGCAGCAGUAGGGAAUCUUCCGCAAUGGGCGAAAGCCUGACGGAGCAACGCCGCGUGAGUGAAGAAGGUCUUCGGAUCGUAAAACUCUGUUAUUAGGGAAGAACAAAUGUGUAAGUAACUAUGCACGUCUUGACGGUACCUAAGCAGAAAGCCACGGCUAACUACGU